Carlito syrichta (Philippine tarsier) is the source of this 922-nucleotide long non-coding RNA. RefSeq lists it as uncharacterized. The record is from RefSeq and is a predicted model, not a curated record. The transcript is spliced from 2 exons. NCBI's taxonomy places the organism in Eukaryota, Metazoa, Chordata, Mammalia, Primates, Tarsiidae.
CGGGCUGGGCAGGGUGCCGGGUGGCUCCCAGCCAGUCUCCGUGCUCCCUCUCUGGAAUUCUCCUUGAGCUGGCAGGGGAGACAGUGGCAAGCAUGAGCCCGGAUGGACCUACGUUCUGGACUCCAGGCAUGCAGCCUGCUCAACCAGGUCUUGAUGUGAGGUCCUGUCCAGGCAUGGCUUCGGCCCGAUCACCACCGACAUCCGGGAGGGACAGACUUUCUACUAUGCGGAAGACUACCACCAGCAGUACCUGAGCAAGAACCCCGAUGGCUACUGCGGCCUCGGGGGCACUGGAGUGUCCUGUCCCAUGGGUAUUAAAAAAUAGUUUCCCCCCACAUGGUAGGCCUUUGAGGUUCCUGCAAAAACGCUUUCAGCAAAUAGGGCAGUCCUUUUGUGAUUCUCAACCCGUGGCUUUCUGAAAUGCACAAGGUGCGAGGGUGUUUAUAAAAACCUGGUUUAUGGAAGUGUCAUUUACAGGAGGUGCAGUGGCCAGUUGACAAGGUGUCAUUUGCCUUCUCACCAAUUACGGUGGGAGUAGAGCAGAGAGCAGUGGGGUCCUCUGGAUCACAUGGGGCUGGGUGAAGAUAACGAAUGGGCCCUGCCCCCCUUCUUGGUCGGGCACCUCUCCUAGAAGUUGCAGAAUGAGCUGGGAGGUUGUCGGACAGGACAGGGGGAGUUUGGAAAUCCCUGGUCUGUACCUCCUGCCUGCUAGUGCCUUAGAACUUGCAAACAAUCAUAGCCUCAACGAAUCAUUCACCGAAAUGCUUUGCUGCACGGAACCAAGACAUGUGCAAGGGGCUUUCUUUCCCUUUUUGGCCCUCUUGGUCCAGAGAAAAGAUGUGAGUCAGCUUGGUGAAUCCUAACGCUUUGCUUACAGCUAUGAGAAAUGUAUGUUCCAAUAAAAACCUGCAGUUCAAUAAUA